RNAcentral lists this long non-coding RNA (2038 nucleotides) under Columba livia (rock pigeon). RNAcentral describes it as "partial uncharacterized LOC102095174". Lineage: Eukaryota; Metazoa; Chordata; Aves; Columbiformes; Columbidae. The record is from RNAcentral.
AGGAGGGCAGUCCUUUGAGGGGAAGACAGUAGCAAGUGUACUAUUAAAGAUAAUGGUCCUUCAGGAGGACCCAGCAAGUUAGGGAGAUGGCAUGACAGUAACUCUUGUCCAGGCUUAUGUCCUGGCAUAGCAAAGGCUGGCUGUGCCUAGUGCUGAUUUUCUCCUGCCUGGGGUGGUGGGGACAGGCUGAGGCAGGGGUUGGUUGCAGGAGGCAGGAUGGUUCAUGUACGGCCAAAAAGCAUCACCACACCUGAGCCAGGUGAGUGCAGUGCCUUGCAGCCAGGAGAGUGGUGCAGGCCUCAGAUUUACGAACCUUUAUUCUUGUUUCUGUUUGCACACUAGGAGCAGUUCUUAAAGUUGAGUUUUUCCAACCCCCUCCGGCCAUCGGCUUCUGUUCCUGCCUGUUUGUCUGCCUCCUGUGAAGAUAUAGAACAGUGGAGCUGCUCCGAUCUCUCCCCUGGCUGCAGGGCUGUCCCUGGAGGUGAUUUCCACUUAGACUUGUCGUUCAGCUCCCAAGCCGGAAACAGUUCCAGUCCGAACAGCCCCACACAGGGAGCCCAGUACAGAGUCAGAGAGUAAAGAGGAGCAACCAGGCCAGCAAGUUCUGAGGGGCUGGGAAAUACGACUGUAAAAACAUGGCUUUACCAGGGUAGAAGGGAAGCACCUACAGGCGUACCCUCUCCCUGGCCAUGCCUGGGGCCAAGCUGGCUCUCAGCUGUUCUUGCAGCAUGACCGCCCCAGGGAGUUUUGCACCGCAGUGUUGUGAAGGAUGCUGCACUGUCUGUGAAGCAGAGGGAGAUGACAGCUGCUUUUGCCACUCCCAGAAGAAAAACUGAGGCUGGUGGAAGUUCAGACCUGACUGUGAUGUGCCCUGUGAGGAAGGGGAGUCAGAGGAAACACUGAUGCCCUUGAAGUUGACAAGACCACUGACAAGGGAGCGGUCUCUCACUGGGAUCUACUGAGGAUGUGAUCCACAUGAUGCAGGUGGAGAACAUGCCACCAUCUCUGGCAGCAUUAGCAGCACUGACAAACUGAGGAGAACAAGCCACAUGAUGGCUGAGGGUCAUUGACCAGUGAAUGCUGGAAGUAUUCAUCUGAACCAACAGCCCCAGAGUGUUCACACACUUGGGGUCAAGACUCAGUUUUAAAUCUCAUGGUGUUUAGAGAAGCUUUAGACCAUGCCACCUCCCAAAGGCCCCAGAACCACCAGUUAUGGGAAAAAGACAAUGUUUUGAAAGCUUGGGGUGUUUAAGGCACACUCAGACCUUCAGAUGUGUCCCGCAAAUGAUCUUCAAAAGCUACACAGCAUCAACGAUACUCUGAAAAUGCUGCUCUGAUCUGAAGAAACUCCACUUGUUCUCUGCCUGUUUCUCCUGUGUCUUGUCUGCAGAGCAGCUGAUCCAGAUGUGCUAUUCAAGAUAAAAGGGUGCAUCAGCUCCAGAUGGGAUGAGAUCCAGAGUAUUCCAUGUGGGUUUAUAAUAGCUCUCCUGAUUACACAGAACAGAUAUGGACCAGCAUGGAUUUCUCUUCACCAAGGGCUUAUUCUGCAUUCUGGGUAAGCAAGUAUAGCAACCUGACUGCUUCUGUAUCCCCAAAACAUGUGUCUGGAUACCUGUUUUCACCUGGAGGGGUCAAUAAAGGUGAGCAGGUCGCCAGCUAAGGCGCCACGAUGUCCAUCCAUCUCCCCUCGGCCACUGUUUUGUAGUCUCAUGUACAGAGCUGGAGCUGCAGGAAUUAAUGCUUGUGCAAUGGAUGUUUGAGCCUCAGGGAGGUCUCGGUCUCCUGUCUAAGCAGAAAAAAUGUCAGGUUUUAAAAUACUUCACAACCAUUUGUAACUUUCUCCAAAGAGAGUCUUGUGGCUUCCGUUUCACCAGUUAAUACAGACUGCAAUUUCCCAUUACAGGAAUAAUAUAAAAUACAAUACAGUAGAACUGAGAGCAAAAUGGUAUUCUGAGGGCUUUUUCCGUCUGUAUGUAAUACACUGCUUCUGCUUUUUUCCCCCUUGCAUUUUCUUUUUUGUUUGUUUGGGGUUUUUUUG